RNAcentral lists this transfer RNA (73 nucleotides) under Monotropsis odorata (sweet pinesap). RNAcentral's name for it is "tRNA-Glu". It matches the Rfam family "tRNA". Rfam says of the family: Transfer RNA (tRNA) molecules are approximately 80 nucleotides in length. Their secondary structure includes four short double-helical elements and three loops (D, anti-codon, and T loops). Further hydrogen bonds mediate the characteristic L-shaped molecular structure. tRNAs have two regions of fundamental functional importance: the anti-codon, which is responsible for specific mRNA codon recognition, and the 3' end, to which the tRNAs corresponding amino acid is attached (by aminoacyl-tRNA synthetases). tRNAs cope with the degeneracy of the genetic code in two manners: having more than one tRNA (with a specific anti-codon) for a particular amino acid; and 'wobble' base-pairing, i.e. permitting non-standard base-pairing at the 3rd anti-codon position. The record is from RNAcentral. Lineage: Eukaryota; Viridiplantae; Streptophyta; Magnoliopsida; Ericales; Ericaceae.
GCCCCCAUAGUCUAGUAGGUCAGGACAUCUCUCUUUCAAGGAGGUAGCGGGGAUUCGACUUUCCCUGGGGGUA